Molecule: long non-coding RNA, 446 nt
Organism: Candoia aspera
Lineage: Eukaryota; Metazoa; Chordata; Lepidosauria; Squamata; Candoiidae
Exons: 3
Source: RefSeq, a predicted model, not a curated record
GCCAUGGGGAUUCCUUCUACAGGUUCCUUCCUUCUCUGCAUUAUUUAUAAAUGAUUUUAUUGUUCAAGCUCUAAUUCAUCUGAAGAUUCCUUCAGUACUCUUGUUUUAAACUGUCUGCUACCUUGAGUGUUAUUCCAAAGAGAACAGUAACACCUCAAUCAAGCAACCUAAGCAAUUAAGCAUUAAUCAGAGUGAUUAUAUUUUUCUGGGCAAUUGGGGAAUAGAUAUGCAAGGUCUUUCAGCACUUCAGCUCUUCUUAACAUCUUGUCAAUUAACUUCUUGCCAUUCCAGACUUCUGAUCUUGAAGAAAACUCAUCCCAGAGUUCUCAAGUGCUGACUCUGCAUGGAAAUCCAGAUGAAGAUGGGAAAGGUGCUAAAGCAAAAGAAUGCUCCAGCAUUUGGGACUCACAGUGUGGUGUUCUUGGAAACAUUCAUCUUCCAUCACC